UACGUAGGUGGCACGCGUUGUCCGGAUUUACUGGGCUUAAAGAGCGCGCAGGCGGCUCGGUAAGUCUGCUGUGAAAUCUCCCGGCUUAACUGGGAGGGGUCAGCGGAUACUGUCGGGCUUGAGGCAGGUAGAGGAAGGUGGAAUUCCCGGUGUAGUGGUGAAAUGCGUAGAUAUCGGGAGGAACACCAGUGGCGAAGGCGGCCUUCUGGGCCUGUCCUGACGCUGAGGCGCGAAAGCCAGGGGAGCGAACGGG
This 253-nucleotide ribosomal RNA is filed under the name uncultured bacterium. RNAcentral's name for it is "partial 16S ribosomal RNA". It matches the Rfam family "Bacterial small subunit ribosomal RNA", at positions 524 to 776 of the family's 1533-position model. The record is from RNAcentral.